Molecule: small nucleolar RNA, 132 nt
Filed under: Castor canadensis (American beaver)
Lineage: Eukaryota; Metazoa; Chordata; Mammalia; Rodentia; Castoridae
Description: Small nucleolar RNA SNORA51 (ENSCCNG00000001323.1)
Rfam family: Small nucleolar RNA SNORA51
About the family: ACA51 is a member of the H/ACA class of snoRNA that guide the sites of modification of uridines to pseudouridines.
Source: Rfam by way of RNAcentral
GACCACCUGGUACUUACCACAGGCUGUGUUUUUGCACUUAUUAUAUAGAAAGAGGAGGCAAAGGAAACCUACAGCACAUAUACCACAGCCCAAGUCCUGUGCCUGGUCUGAAUUGUGAAUGCAGAGACAUGA